This 71-nucleotide transfer RNA is filed under the name Echinostoma caproni. It matches the Rfam family "tRNA", at positions 6 to 65 of the family's 71-position model. From Rfam's summary of the family: Transfer RNA (tRNA) molecules are approximately 80 nucleotides in length. The record is from Rfam by way of RNAcentral. Lineage: Eukaryota; Metazoa; Platyhelminthes; Trematoda; Plagiorchiida; Echinostomatidae.
CGUAGCUCAGUUGGUAGAGCAUGCGCGUACAAAGCGUAGGCGGCGUCCAUGCGUGGGUUCGAAUCUCACCG